RNAcentral lists this ribosomal RNA (253 nucleotides) under uncultured bacterium. Its description in RNAcentral is "partial 16S ribosomal RNA". It matches the Rfam family "Bacterial small subunit ribosomal RNA", at positions 524 to 776 of the family's 1533-position model. The record is from RNAcentral.
GACGAACCACACAAACGUUAUUCGGAAUUACUGGGCUUAAAGGGUGCGUAGGCUGUGCGGAAAGUUGGGUGUGAAAUCCCCCGGCUCAACCGGGGAAUUGCGCCCAAAACUACCGUGCUUGAGGAAGACAGAGGUGAGCGGAAUUCCAGGUGUAGCGGUGAAAUGCGUAGAUAUCUGGAGGAACACCGGUGGCGAAGGCGGCGUUCUGGACUGUAACUGACACUGAUGAACGAAAGCCAGGGGAGCAAACGGG